Halichondria panicea is the source of this 303-nucleotide long non-coding RNA. RefSeq lists it as uncharacterized. The record is from RefSeq and is a predicted model, not a curated record. The transcript has 3 exons. NCBI's taxonomy places the organism in Eukaryota, Metazoa, Porifera, Demospongiae, Suberitida, Halichondriidae.
UUGUCAGUGACACACACCAGGGCAGGACCCUCCACAGUGUCUGAUACUCCCCCCAUUCCUUGUAGCUGCUCUCCAAUGUCACUCAAACAAACUCGGCUGAUACCGCUAGUUGGCAGAUGAUUUUCUACCCACUUGAAAUGUUUUAUCACCCGCUUGGAGCAGCAACUCCCACGCCGGAAUAUCACAUGCAAAGGUAUUGGUGAGUGUGGUUUCCUGGCAUUGAAAGGCGAAUAUUACAACCCACGGAAAUUUCUUCUGAGGCUUUCGAGCCAAAGAAUGAAAUUGUCCUGCUACAUUGACUAU